GACGAACGCUGGCGGCGUGCCUAAUACAUGCAAGUCGAGCGAAGUUUUUAUGGUGCUUGCACUAGAAAAAGUUAGCGGCGAACGGGUGAGUAACAUGUAAAGAACCUGCCUUAUAGACUGGGACAACUAUUGGAAACGAUAGCUAAUACCGGAUAACAGCAUUAACUGCAUGGUUGAUGUUUAAAAGUUGGUUUUGCUAACACUAUGAGAUGGCUUUGCGGUGCAUUAGCUAGUUGGUGGGGUAAAGGCCUACCAAGGCGACGAUGCAUAGCCGACCUGAGAGGGUGAUCGGCCACACUGGGACUGAGACACGGCCCAGAUUCCUACGGGAGGCAGCAGUAGGGAAUCUUCCGCAAUGGGCGAAAGCCUGACGGAGCAACGCCGCGUGAGUGAAGAAGGAUUUCGGUUCGUAAAGCUCUGUUGUUAGGGAAGAAUGAUUGUGUAGUAACUAUACACAGUAGAGACGGUACCUAACCAGAAAGCCACGGCUAACUACGUGCCAGCAGCCGCGGUAAUACGUAGGUGGCAAGCGUUGUCCGGAAUUAUUGGGCGUAAAGCGCGCGCAGGUGGUUUAAUAAGUCUGAUGUGAAAGCCCACGGCUCAACCUUGGAGGGUCAUUGGAAACUGUUAAACUUGAGUGCAGGAGAGAAAAGUGGAAUUCCUAGUGUAGCGGUGAAAUGCGUAGAGAUUAGGAGGAACACCAGUGGCGAAGGCGGCUUUUUGGCCUGUAACUGACACUGAGGCGCGAAAGCGUGGGGAGCAAUCAGG
Molecule: ribosomal RNA, 768 nt
Filed under: uncultured bacterium
Lineage: Bacteria
Description: bacterial SSU rRNA
Rfam family: Bacterial small subunit ribosomal RNA
Source: RNAcentral